RNAcentral lists this ribosomal RNA (512 nucleotides) under uncultured bacterium. Its description in RNAcentral is "bacterial SSU rRNA". It matches the Rfam family "Bacterial small subunit ribosomal RNA", at positions 17 to 518 of the family's 1533-position model. The record is from RNAcentral.
UUAUGGCUCAGGAUGAACGCUAGCUACAGGCUUAACACAUGCAAGUCGAGGGGCAUCAUGGAGUUUGCUUGCAAACUCUGAUGGCGACCGGCGCACGGGUGAGUAACGCGUAUCCAACCUUCCCUAUAGUAGAGGAUAGCCCGGCGAAAGUCGGAUUAAUACUCUAUGUUUUCCGUUGCAGACAUCUAAGAUGGAACAAAGGCUUGCCGCUAUAGGAUGGGGAUGCGUCUGAUUAGGUAGUCGGCGGGGUAACGGCCCACCGAGCCAUCGAUCAGUAGGGUUCUGAGAGGAAGGUCCCCCACAUUGGAACUGAGACACGGUCCAAACUCCUACGGGAGGCAGCAGUGAGGAAUAUUGGUCAAUGGGCGAGAGCCUGAACCAGCCAAGUAGCCGUGCAGGACGACGGCCCUAUGGGUUGUAAACUGCCUUUAUGCGGGGAUAAAGUUCACUACGUGUAGUGUUUUGUAGGUACCGCAUGAAUAAGGACCGGCUAAUUCCGUGCCAGCCGCGGC